GAAUUGAAGAGUUUGAUCAUGGCUCAGAUUGAACGCUGGCGGCAGGCUUAACACAUGCAAGUCGAACGGUAGCAGGAAGAAAGCUUGCUUUCUUUGCUGACGAGUGGCGGACGGGUGAGUAAUGCUUGGGAAUCUGGCUUAUGGAGGGGGAUAACUGUGGGAAACUGCAGCUAAUACCGCGUAUUCUCUGAGGAGGAAAGGGUGGGACCUUAGGGCCACCUGCCAUAAGAUGAGCCCAAGUGGGAUUAGGUAGUUGGUGGGGUAAAGGCCUACCAAGCCUGCGAUCUCUAGCUGGUCUGAGAGGAUGACCAGCCACACUGGAACUGAGACACGGUCCAGACUCCUACGGGAGGCAGCAGUGGGGAAUAUUGCGCAAUGGGGGGAACCCUGACGCAGCCAUGCCGCGUGAAUGAAGAAGGCCUUCGGGUUGUAAAGUUCUUUCGGUAAUGAGGAAGGGAUGUUGUUAAAUAGAUAGCAUCAUUGACGUUAAUUACAGAAGAAGCACCGGCUAACUCCGUGCCAGCAGCCGCGGUAAUACGGAGGGUGCGAGCGUUAAUCGGAAUAACUGGGCGUAAAGGGCACGCAGGCGGACUUUUAAGUGAGAUGUGAAAUCCCCGAGCUUAACUUGGGAACUGCAUUUCAGACUGGGAGUCUAGAGUACUUUAGGGAGGGGUAGAAUUCCACGUGUAGCGGUGAAAUGCGUAGAGAUGUGGAGGAAUACCGAAGGCGAAGGCAGCCCCUUGGGAAUGUACUGACGCUCAUGUGCGAAAGCGUGGGGAGCAAACAGGAUUAGAUACCCUGGUAGUCCACGCUGUAAACGCUGUCGAUUUGGGGAUUGGGCUAUAUGCUUGGUGCCCGAAGCUAACGUGAUAAAUCGACCGCCUGGGGAGUACGGCCGCAAGGUUAAAACUCAAAUGAAUUGACGGGGGCCCGCACAAGCGGUGGAGCAUGUGGUUUAAUUCGAUGCAACGCGAAGAACCUUACCUACUCUUGACAUCCUAAGAAGAGCUCAGAGAUGAGCUUGUGCCUUCGGGAACUUAGAGACAGGUGCUGCAUGGCUGUCGUCAGCUCGUGUUGUGAAAUGUUGGGUUAAGUCCCGCAACGAGCGCAACCCUUAUCCUUUGUUGCCAGCGAUUCGGU
This 1140-nucleotide ribosomal RNA is filed under the name Pasteurella multocida. RNAcentral describes it as "bacterial SSU rRNA". It matches the Rfam family "Bacterial small subunit ribosomal RNA", at positions 1 to 1130 of the family's 1533-position model. The record is from RNAcentral. Lineage: Bacteria; Pseudomonadati; Pseudomonadota; Gammaproteobacteria; Pasteurellales; Pasteurellaceae.